UAAGUAUAAGCAAUUAUACCGCGAAACUGCGAAUGGCUCAUUAUAUAAGUUAUCGUCUAUUUGAUAGCACCUUACUACUUGGAUAACCGUGGUAAUUCUAGAGCUAAUACAUGCUAAAAAUCCCGACUUCGGAAGGGAUGUAUUUAUUAGAUUAAAAACCAAUGCCCUCCGGGGCUCUCUGGUGAUUCAUGAUAACUGCUCGAAUCGCACGGCCUUGCGCCGGCGAUGGUUCAUUCAAAUUUCUUCCCUAUCAACUUUCGAUGUUUGGAUCUGGGCCAAACAUGGUUGCAACGGGUAACGGAGGGUUAGGGCUCGACCCCGGAGAAGGAGCCUGAGAAACGGCUACUACAUCCAAGGAAGGCAGCAGGCGCGCAAAUUACCCAAUCCCGACACGGGGAGGUAGUGACAAUAAAUACUGAUACAGGGCUCUUUUGGGUCUUGUAAUUGGAAUGAGUACAAUUUAAAUCCCUUAACGAGGAACAAUUGGAGGGCAAGUCUGGUGCCAGCAGCCGCGGUAAUUCCAGCUCCAAUAGCGUAUAUUAAAGUUGUUGUGGUUAAAAAGCUCGUAGUUGAACCUUGGGCCUGGCUGGCCGGUCCGCCUCACCGCGUGUACUGGUCCGGCCGGGCCUUUCCCUCUGUGGAACCCCAUGCCCUUCACUGGGUGUGGCGGGGAAGCAGGACUUUUACUUUGAAAAAAUUAGAGUGCUCCAGGCAGGCCUAUGCUCGAAUACAUUAGCAUGGAAUAAUGAAAUAGGACGUGUGGUUCUAUUUUGUUGGUUUCUAGGACCGCCGUAAUGAUUAAUAGGGACAGUCGGGGGCAUCAGUAUUCAAUUGUCAGAGGUGAAAUUCUUGGAUUUAUUGAAGACUAACUACUGCGAAAGCAUUUGCCAAGGAUGUUUUCAUUAAUCAGGAACGAAAGUUA
This 922-nucleotide ribosomal RNA is filed under the name Lycogala sp. FW2SW1. RNAcentral describes it as "SSU rRNA". It matches the Rfam family "Eukaryotic small subunit ribosomal RNA", at positions 60 to 992 of the family's 1831-position model. Lineage: Eukaryota; Evosea; Eumycetozoa; Liceales; Enteridiidae. The record is from RNAcentral.